This 441-nucleotide ribosomal RNA is filed under the name uncultured bacterium. RNAcentral describes it as "partial 16S ribosomal RNA". It matches the Rfam family "Bacterial small subunit ribosomal RNA", at positions 355 to 788 of the family's 1533-position model. The record is from RNAcentral.
UAGGGAAUCUUCCACAAUGGACGCAAGUCUGAUGGAGCAACGCCGCGUGAGUGAAGAAGGUCUUCGGAUCGUAAAGCUCUGUUGUUGGUGAAGAAGGAUAGAGGCAGUAACUGGUCUUUAUUUGACGGUAAUCAACCAGAAAGUCACGGCUAACUACGUGCCAGCAGCCGCGGUAAUACGUAGGUGGCAAGCGUUGUCCGGAUUUAUUGGGCGUAAAGCGAGCGCAGGCGGAAUGAUAAGUCUGAUGUGAAAGCCCACGGCUCAACCGUGGAACUGCAUCGGAAACUGUCAUUCUUGAGUGCAGAAGAGGAGAGUGGAACUCCAUGUGUAGCGGUGGAAUGCGUAGAUAUAUGGAAGAACACCAGUGGCGAAGGCGGCUCUCUGGUCUGCAACUGACGCUGAGGCUCGAAAGCAUGGGUAGCGAACAGGAUUAGAUACCCU